CUUCCUCUGAUAGUACACCCGAUUCUAGGAAAGAUUGGAUUUAUGAUUCUAACAGUAAAUUGAAGUUAGAGGAUGAUGCAUUAGAAGGAGGUAAUACCUACAUCACCACAGUUGUAAUGUAUCGUGACAUGUCAGAUAUUCUACCAUCACAAACAACUGGAUAUACAACAGAAGACGCGAGUCGAAAAGAAAUAAACGGCCCUGUGUUGUCGUUGACAAUUACACCAGCUAUUGCUGAACUGGAUCCUCC
Molecule: long non-coding RNA, 250 nt
Organism: Mya arenaria
Lineage: Eukaryota; Metazoa; Mollusca; Bivalvia; Myida; Myidae
Exons: 3
Source: RefSeq, a predicted model, not a curated record